GCCUCAGUAGUGUAAUGGAUCAGCACGGCAGACCGCAUAUCUGUAUGUGCGGGUUCGAGUCUUUCCUGAGGUU
RNAcentral lists this transfer RNA (73 nucleotides) under Dictyocaulus viviparus (bovine lungworm). It matches the Rfam family "tRNA". Rfam says of the family: Transfer RNA (tRNA) molecules are approximately 80 nucleotides in length. Their secondary structure includes four short double-helical elements and three loops (D, anti-codon, and T loops). Lineage: Eukaryota; Metazoa; Nematoda; Chromadorea; Rhabditida; Metastrongylidae. The record is from Rfam by way of RNAcentral.